UCAAGAAACUUCCGCAAUGGGCGAAAGCCUGAUGGAGCGACGUCGCGUGAUGGACGAAGUGCUUCGGCACGUAAACAUCUUUUAUGUGGGAUGAAAUUAUUGACAGUACCACAUGAAUAAGGGGCUCCUAACUCUGUGCCAGCAGGAGCGGUAAUACAGAGGCCCCAAGCGUUAUCCGGAAUCACUGGGCGUAAAGGGUGUCGAGGCGGUUGUAUUAGUCGUUCGUAAAAUCUACGAGCUUAACUUGUAGGCGGCGAACGAAACGGUACGACUUGAGGUUUGGAGAGGUGCGUGGAACUCACGGUGUAGGGGUGAAAUCCGUUGAUAUCGUGGGGAACACCAAAGGCGAAGGCAGCGCACUGGCCAAAAUCUGACGCUCACACACGAAAGCUAGGGUAGCGAAGAGGAUUAGAUACCCCGGUAGUCCCUGAGCGGGCUGGCAAGGCGCAU
This 450-nucleotide ribosomal RNA is filed under the name uncultured bacterium. RNAcentral describes it as "bacterial SSU rRNA". It matches the Rfam family "Bacterial small subunit ribosomal RNA", at positions 355 to 825 of the family's 1533-position model. The record is from RNAcentral.